UUUUAGUGUGAAAGACGAUCGUGAUUGAUAUUGUGUUACCUCAAACGUUAUGUUUACAUCGAACAAUAAUAUAUUAUCGUUUACACGAAGAAAUAGAUAUUUUGCGUUUCUUUUUUCUCACUUCGUUAAAAGUAAACACUAUAUACAUACUAUUCUACAUAACCUAAAAAAGAAAAA
Vespula pensylvanica (western yellowjacket) is the source of this 177-nucleotide long non-coding RNA. RefSeq lists it as uncharacterized. Lineage: Eukaryota; Metazoa; Arthropoda; Insecta; Hymenoptera; Vespidae. The transcript is spliced from 2 exons. The record is from RefSeq and is a predicted model, not a curated record.